Non-coding RNA from Pelobates cultripes (western spadefoot toad), 216 nucleotides. Lineage: Eukaryota; Metazoa; Chordata; Amphibia; Anura; Pelobatidae. The record is from the annotation of a GenBank genome assembly.
GUAGGAUCCUGCUGUUCCUAGGAUGUGGGCCAGUUGGCCACGGCCUCAACCUUGGCUGGCUCUGGUUGCUGUUUCCCACAUUCUACCCGGUGUCCCAAGUACUGGACUUCGGCCAUGCCAAAGUGACACUUUUCUGGUUUCAGAGUGAGGCCUGCAGCCCGAAUCCUACAUGUUGCAGAUGUUCCCCCCCAUGGUCCUACAUGUUGCAGAUGUUCC